CGAGGAAUGCCGAUUUUGGGCCAAUAGUGAGCCUUAAUAUUCCAAUAUCAGGAUGUUGUGUUUAUACACCUGUGAAUUUUGGGCCUUCUUUUGAGAUGGAUUUGGAGAAGCUUAAGUGUGGUUCUUAUUCUGGGUUUUAUAGCUUUAAUGGAAGAGAAACAGAUGCUGAGAGCUGGAAAUAUGGAAUUGCUAUUAAGUAUAAAUUUGCAAUUGAUAAUGUCUAUCCAAGUUGGUGUUCGAGUUGUGAACAGAGUGGUGGGGUUUGUGGGUAUUCAGGUCCCGUUGGUUCGUUUAUAUGUAAUUGUCCUCCUGGAUUUAAUACAACUACUAAUUGUUUCUUUGGAGCUUCUUUCAAUGGCGUUUCUAAGUUUCUUCCAUUCCAACUUCCAUGUCAUUGACGAAAAAAAAUAGCAAUCUGCUUGCCAUGGUUCUGAUGCCUCAAAAGUUUGCCAUCUGCUUUACGCUUGGAUGUUGCUUCAUCAUUGGAUCCUUUUUUGCUCUCAAGGGUCCGAAGAAUCAGCUUGCACAUAUGUUCUCAAAAGAGAGACUUCCUUUUAUAGUGAUCUUUAUUGGUAGUAUGUUGGGCACCUUAUAUGUUUCCAUGGGCCUCCACAGCUAUAUUCUGUCAGUUUUCUUCUCUGUAUUACAGGU
Molecule: long non-coding RNA, 651 nt
Organism: Cucumis melo (muskmelon)
Lineage: Eukaryota; Viridiplantae; Streptophyta; Magnoliopsida; Cucurbitales; Cucurbitaceae
Exons: 3
Source: RefSeq, a predicted model, not a curated record